UGACCUCGGAUCAGUAGGAUCCCAG
Molecule: ribosomal RNA, 25 nt
Filed under: Hymenoscyphus microserotinus
Lineage: Eukaryota; Fungi; Ascomycota; Leotiomycetes; Helotiales; Helotiaceae
Description: partial 28S ribosomal RNA
Source: RNAcentral